Molecule: ribosomal RNA, 425 nt
Filed under: uncultured bacterium
Lineage: Bacteria
Description: partial 16S ribosomal RNA
Rfam family: Bacterial small subunit ribosomal RNA
Source: RNAcentral
GUGGGGAAUCUUGCGCAAUUGGCGAAAGCCUGACGCAGCCAUGCCGCGUGAAUGAUGAAGGUCUUAGGAUUGUAAAAUUCUUUCACCGGGGACGAUAAUGACGGUACCCGGAGAAGAAGCUCCGGCUAACUUCGUGCCAGCAGCCGCGGUAAUACGAAGGGGGCUAGCGUUGCUCGGAAUUACUGGGCGUAAAGGGCGCGUAGGCGGACAGCUUAGUCAGAGGUGAAAGCCCAGGGCUCAACCUUGGAAUUGCCUUUGAUACUGGCUGUCUUGAGUACGGGAGAGGUGAGUGGAACUCCGAGUGUAGAGGUGAAAUUCGUAGAUAUUCGGAAGAACACCAGUGGCGAAGGCGACUCACUGGCCCGUUACUGACGCUGAGGCGCGAAAGCGUGGGGAGCAAACAGGAUUAGAAACCCGUGUAGUCC